This 285-nucleotide ribosomal RNA is filed under the name uncultured Comamonadaceae bacterium. RNAcentral describes it as "partial 16S ribosomal RNA". It matches the Rfam family "Bacterial small subunit ribosomal RNA", at positions 1097 to 1382 of the family's 1533-position model. Lineage: Bacteria; Pseudomonadati; Pseudomonadota; Betaproteobacteria; Burkholderiales; Comamonadaceae. The record is from RNAcentral.
CGCAACCCUUGUCAUUAGUUGCCAGUCAUUUAGUUGGGCACUCUAAUGAGACUGCCGGUGACAAACCGGAGGAAGGUGGGGAUGACGUCAAGUCCUCAUGGCCCUUAUGGGUAGGGCUUCACACGUCAUACAAUGGUCGGUACAGAGGGUUGCCAAGCCGCGAGGGGGAGCCAAUCCCAUAAAGCCAGUCGUAGUCCGGAUCGUAGUCUGCAACUCGACUACGUGAAGUCGGAAUCGCUAGUAAUCGUGGAUCAGAAUGUCACGGUGAAUACGUUCCCGGGUCUU